This 387-nucleotide unclassified non-coding RNA is filed under the name soil metagenome. Its description in RNAcentral is "partial contains 5.8S ribosomal RNA, internal transcribed spacer 2, and large subunit ribosomal RNA". The stretch from base 1 to 120 matches the Rfam family "5.8S ribosomal RNA", at positions 35 to 154 of the family's 154-position model. The record is from RNAcentral.
GAUGAAGAACGUAGCGAAAUGCGAUAAGUAAUGUGAAUUGCAGAAUUCAUUGAAUCAUCGAAUCUUUGAACGCACCUUGCGCUCCUUGGUAUUCCGAGGAGCAUGCCUGUUUGAGUGUCAUGAAAUUCUCAACCUUUUCAGCUUUCUUUGUUGAUCAGGCUUGGAUGUGGGAGUAUGCGGGCUUCUCAGAAGUCGGCUCUCCUGAAAUGCAUUAGCGGGACCUUUGUUGCCUGGCUUUGGUGUGAUAAUUAUCUACGCCAUUGUAGUCAAGCAGCUUAAAAUGAGGUUUCAGCUUCUAACCGUCUCCCCUGAGACAACUUUUUGACAAUUUGACCUCAAAUCAGGUAGGACUACCCGCUGAACUUAAGCAUAUCAAUAAGCGGAGGA